GAGAGAUUAUUGCACUUUAUUUAAACAGAAUCUUGUCUCCAGAGAGGAUUAAUAAUCUAACAGAUUCUGCUAAUUCUACGAUUAUGAGACUUGGUUAGAUGGACGCAGAGUUUUUAAUCUAGACCACCAGAGAAAAGACCUGAUAGCCUGGUCUGUUGACGAUUCGAGUCGAGUUUCUCCAGGUCCUGCGCUGACAGGAACCCUUUGGUCUGUGGAUGUUUUCAAGAUGGCAGAAUUCCUCUGGGUUCUGGACCGGUCCUGGACUUUAAUGUGGUUCAGAAACAGUGCCAGUCCGGGUUCUGGUGGGCGUCUCUUUGCAGACCUCAGAACCUGUUAGAAAGCAAACCAGUCUCCCUCUGUUUGUCCUGGUUAGGGUUAGGUUAAGGUCAACCCUUGGACCUGGAAGUGGAGCCAGAACGUGUCUUCAGCAGAACUUUUCCUGAUGUUCUGACAGGAUUUCUUCCAGAAGGUUUUAUUGGAAUCUCAGUCUGGCUCUGGAUGUUAUUUAUAAAAUCCUCUCCAACGUCACACCAGUAAAACCCAAACCAGUCCAGCUGUCCAACACUCCCAGUCUGAGCUGAGUCCAGCUGUCCAACACUCCCAGUCUGAGCUGAGUCCAGCUGUCCAACACUCCCAGUCUGAGCUGGGAGCUCCUGGUGCUCCUCCUCCUCCCCCUCCUCCCUCCCCUUGUCUCCUCUCAGAGGCGAUGAGCAGCCGGACUGAGAGGAGGAUGUUGUCAUCUCAUUCUGCUACCUUUGUAUCCACCUCCUCAAGCCACCCUCCACCUCACCCAGUGACCUCUGACUCCCGAAAAGUUACCAUGGAAACCUACUGGAGAGAGGUCCAGAGCAUCGAAGAGGAGCAGGAGGGGGAAGAAGAGGAGGAAGAAGAGGAGGAGAGUAAAAGUUUAGAUGAGGUGGAGUUGGAGGAGGCGUGGCUGACGGAGGCGGGGUUAUCCUCGCUGCUCGUAGACUCUGCAUCCACAGAGGCUCCACCUGUGGCGGAGGCCGUGCUGUCCACGUUGACGCGGCAACAAGCCGCCACGGUCAAAAAGAGGCUGGACAACUACAAUGAGACACUGAGGAAAAGAAACAGGCAGCCAAUCAGAGACGUGCGUGAUGUCUUCACAGAGCCUGAUGGGGACGCCGCAGUCCACUGCAGCCCGUUCCCAACCCAACGUCAUCCGGAGUCACCGCCAAGGAGGUACCACACCACCACCAAGACCAUCCGCCGCAGCACUAACAGAGGACGGUCCACUCUUCCCCUGUCUACAUUUGAGGACCAGCUACCUGAAGACCCGUCAUCCCCCGCACUCACCCCCUCCCCCUCCACUCCAAGCACCUUCCCUUCAGAGGCGGGACGGCUGAGGUGUGCUGACUGGUUACUGAGGGACACUCCUUACUCUGAAGGCGUAGCUGAGCACAAACAGGGCGGGACUUGUAAGGAUUGUGCUUGUUUCCAUGGAGAUGAGAACAGUGAACUGCAGUUCGCUCCAGUCUCUCCGUCAUACGGUCUCACCUGUUCAGAUGACCUGUCAACCCGUGACCUCACCAGGCUAGGCUUCAUCUCUCGCAUCGAACUCUCCACCUUCCUGGCGGCUAUGGGAGUCCAAAUAAAGCGCACCCGGCCACCACACAGAAGAACUCGGGACAGCGGCGUGUUCGGUGUCUCUCUGAACUCUCUGUUGGACAACGACAGGAAGACGUUUCCUGGAGUCAAAGUUCCUGUCUUCUUCCAGAAGUUGCUGGGCGUCUUGGAGCAGAGCGCUCUGCAGACGGAAGGAAUCCUUCGGGUCCCAGGAUCCGCUGCCAAACUGAAGUACCUGCGCAGGGAGCUGGACAGGUGCUGGAGCAUCUUUGACUGGUCUGAAGUUCGCCCGGUGGACGCCUCCGGACUGCUGAAGCUCUUCAUCAGGGAGCUGCCGACGCCCCUGCUGACCAACGCGCACCUGUCCACGUUCUGCUCCCUGCUGGCCGUGUCCUCUGAGGUCCAUCAGGUCCAGGCUCUGCAGCUGCUUCUGCUGCUUCUUCCUGAAGCCCACAGAAACACCCUCAAGGCCCUGCUGGUCUUCCUUCGUAAGGUGGUCUCCCAUCAGGACCACAACCGAAUGUCUCUGUGGAAUGUCUCCAUGGUGAUGGCGCCCAAUAUAUUCACUCGCCGUAACCGUGGAAAUAAACGCUCCAUUAGCAAGCAGCGGGGUGAGAUGGAGGAGGCGGUGGGCGGAGCUCACCUGAUCGGACUCAUGAUCCGCCACCAAGACCUGCUGUGGACCGUCCCAAAGUUUCUUCUGUCCCAGGUGAGACAGAUGAACCAGGCGUCCAAUCACAGACAGUUUAACCUGAGCAGGGCGACGUCCCGCCUCCUGAGGAGGAGGAACGAGAAGAACGACAGGAACCAGGUCGGCGAGCUGUGCGAAGGCGUCAUCAGGGUCCACGCUCCCCUGCACGCCAAGGUUUCCAUGGCGAUACAGCUAGACGAACAAACCACGGCCAAAGACGUGACGAGCCGCUUCGAGUCCCGGACCAGGUGAGGACGGCGUCCAUCGGGUGAGGACGCCUCCGUCCCUGCCGACCUCACUUCCUGUCUCUCUGUCCGCAGCCCCGCCCAGCAUCUCUACGAGGUCGGAGGGAACAUCUAUGAGCGCCGCCUGCAGCCGGACUGCUGCCUGCUGGACGUGUACCGAGAAAACCCGUGCUGCGAUUGGCUGAUCAAACCCUGACCACCGACUGAACUCACCUGUACCUGCUGAGUGUCCAAUAAAAGCCUGAACACGGCGCCGUGUCUCCGCCUGCUGGUCACUGUCGGUUCCUGCAGGGUAGAGCCAGUGAAGCCUGGCAGACAGAGCUGAGGGCAGCAGGAAGCAUCACACCCAGUUAGGAAAACAUUAAAACCUUUAUUUCAUCACGUCUCAUUUCUGAUGACAUCAUCACCCGCCGCUCUGCUCAUGAAACUGAGCCCAGCGGAAAUCCGUCUAAAUAUGGGCGUUCCUGUCCGUUCAGACCGAAGCUACAGGGAUCCUCGGGUCACCCGGAGGUC
RNA transcript from Cyprinodon tularosa, 3036 nucleotides. It is a transcript of the gene named Rho GTPase activating protein 28, with no coding region annotated. The record is from RefSeq and is a predicted model, not a curated record. NCBI's taxonomy places the organism in Eukaryota, Metazoa, Chordata, Actinopteri, Cyprinodontiformes, Cyprinodontidae. The transcript is spliced from 14 exons.